RNAcentral lists this transfer RNA (73 nucleotides) under Patescibacteria group bacterium. RNAcentral describes it as "tRNA-Thr". It matches the Rfam family "tRNA". Rfam says of the family: Transfer RNA (tRNA) molecules are approximately 80 nucleotides in length. Their secondary structure includes four short double-helical elements and three loops (D, anti-codon, and T loops). The record is from RNAcentral.
GCCACCUUAGCUCAGUUGGUAGAGCAAUGCACUCGUAACGCAUAGGUCCGCGGUUCAAUCCCGCGAGGUGGCU